Long non-coding RNA from Numida meleagris (helmeted guineafowl), 11912 nucleotides. RefSeq lists it as uncharacterized. Lineage: Eukaryota; Metazoa; Chordata; Aves; Galliformes; Numididae. The record is from RefSeq and is a predicted model, not a curated record. The transcript is spliced from 3 exons.
AGUUGUUGGAGGAACCACAGCAGCGCAGCUAAAGAAAACAGGAGCAGAAAGCUCAGCCGCAUUGUCUGCAUUGUCUGAUAAACAAUGAGAAUGCUAACACUAAUUAUUUCACCGUGGAUGGCCGGAGGAGAGAAGGAAUAUCUGACAUGAAAAGAUGAGAACCGUAUUCUGGCAUAGCAAGAAAUGCAGCUUUUGAUAUCACUGUGUUUCUUUUCCACGUGAGACGUGGACGGCUGUGCCAUGGAGUUGUUCCACGUGAAAGGUAACUGUCUGAAAAGCUGUGGUGGAAAGCCCUAUUUCAGACAGAUACCAAACCCCUUUCCUCUAGGAAUGACCGCUUAUUUCUGUGCAUCUGUUCUGCAGCAGCGUGCCAUCCCGCUCGUCUCUGUCCGAGGCAGCAAUCACUGGCGUGAGGAGAGCUGGUCCUGUUGCAGAGCCUGUAAAACUUCAUCUGUAAGCAGGGAGAAAAGCUCUGAGUGGUAAAGUACCGUCAUUACCCGGCUCUGUGGCUCACCAGCAGCAUGACUGUGAUGUGAGUACAGCAGGACUUUGCCAUGCCUGGGAUGUGAUUUCAGAGUGACACUGAGGUCUCGCCUGACCUCACUGCGAGAUCUAAAUCAUGGUCUGGCUAUUUUUGCAUUUCCUGCUGCUGUAGUCAAAGUGUAGCUUUCCCAUUCUGUUUUCUGGAGGCCCUGUACCUUCUGGUUGGGUGAAUUAGCAGGAACGUGAUCAAACCACAAGUGCACGUUUUGCCUCUUGAAGGACGGAGCUUGUAAAACAAGCGGCUUCCUCCGGCCUGGUGUUUGAACAGUGAGUGGGAACAGAACAUUUGCUUGUCACGGUGAGAGGUUUAGUUGCUUGUGAAGCACAAAUCAUGUGCAUGUGGCUGGGUGAUGCUUCCAAGAACUAGUUUUGACACAACGAAUGUUCCUAUAAGAUACAUAUCAAUGUGUUUGGAGUGACGGCUUGCUUCAGACUGACAGUGCAGAGCGAGUGAGAGGGAAGAGGUUGUCUUGCCUGGAUUAAUGCUGUGCUUUUUUUCCUCUGUAAAAGGGAAGAGUGACUUUUGAAAGUCUCCACCGGUGUUUUAAGUCAAAGUCUGAACGUCUUUUUUUGUCUGUUCUUUGGAACUGGUUUGGAGGGAGACGAGGGAAUGAGUGAAUUUACGGCUUUCUCAGCGCUAACUGUGAAAACAGAGCAAUUAUAUUGCUUGGCACGGCUGACUGAGCGCCCAUGGAUUUGGUAACAAUGAAUUAUAAAGCUAGCGUUGCAGCAUUGGUGUUAAAUGUUGCAUGUGAUGGGGGCAGAAUCAGAUUUUGUCAAACUUACAGUCUGCGUCUAAACAGGUUGUAAACUUCUCCAGCGGUGGCUGUCAGAUCUGCUUCUGCCUCUAAGCUCGCUGCGAGCACUCGUGCACCAAAGUGAUUGAUUUUGAGACUGGGGUGGCAGAAAUAAGUAAAAAAUAGCACGUACAAGAGACUGUUCCUUCUUUAAUGUUCAUCCUGGGAGCAGGCAGCGCUGCUCUGUGGCUUUAUCUGGACUAGGAAAUGUCUUCCCCUUUUAGCACUGGUGCUAAAAGACGAUAGUGGCUGUACAAACCGUAGUGCAGAUCAGUCCUGGGUGUUUUCAUCACCUUGUCCUCCUGUGCUGCCAGUGGCUGGGGAAGUGCCUUGCUGCUGCAACAGCCCUGCUUACCCCCCUUCCUAGCAGCAGGAGCCUGCUCUUCACAUCGACGCUUAAAGGCUGGAUAUUGACCUCCAGGCAGAGCUUACCUCCAAAUGAAAGCACUAGACCCGGUAUAACCAGACAGAAAUGUCUCUCAGCUGCCUGAAACUUGAGUUCGAAGCUUUUAAGCACUGGCCCUCGGAAAAUAUAAAGCUUGUGCUCAGGGCUGUAGCUCCAGUAAUCCACAUAAUGUCAUGUGGAGAUUAAAAAAUGGCUGAGACUCGAGCACUGACCAAAAGCAUCUCUAAUCGUGUGAAAUUCAGUCCAAAAACCCCAUUUCCGCAAGUUACCUGUUCCAGCAAUCCAUCAUCUACCUUGCUCCAUUUUGUAAAUGGCUCCGACUGUGUUCUCAGAGUUUUCUGUUUCUUUACGGCCUCCCUCGCUGUGGCUUUGUUGGUAGCUAGAUAUAUGUAUUUUUUAAUUUCCACUGCUUACGGUGGUACUUAAAAAUGCAGAGGUCAUCUCUUUCCCAAGCAUUCCUCUUCGGCUGAGCGCUGGUGACAACCAGCACCUUCUCGCCGUCAGCAGCCCCUGUCCUUCCAGCCCUGCUCACGCUGAGCAGUCGAGGCUGGUGAGCCUUCUUGGGGUGAUGUCCUCCCCAAACCCAGCACCCUGUCCCACGACCCAAACAGACCCCACCAGGUGGCGGCAUUUUCUUGACGGUGCUGCCGGAGUUUCUGAGGAUGCCCAGGGCUGCCCGAACCGUGCUGAGGAUGGACGGCGUCUCCUCUCCGCUUCAAGCUUCCAGACCUUAGCAUGCACCUCCAGGAGCUCGGUUCAGUCAUCUGAAGGCUGCCUAACGAGGAGGAGGCAGGGAGGGUGUGUUUGGUGUGAGUAAUCAAACAAAAGUUUGCAAGGCGUUGAAGUGGUGAGGCCAUCCGAUGGUUGAGGGACAGCUGCUAAAAGCUCCUCUGCUCUUCUUCUAGAGGUGAGCUCAGGUGGCAUAGCUGGGCUGUGUUCUGCAUAAAGCUGCGUUUGUGAGGGUGAUUAGCUGCAGGAGAUUCUUUGCUGUUACAGAGGACUCAUUAAGGGGGAUAAGCUGAAGGUGUGAAUGAGAAGCUGGUGCCAAGGAAAGCUGACAGUGAGCUUAUAGCUUGUGGAGCAUCUGCGUAGGCAGCCUUGUUGGGAAGCGGAGGAGGUCGGUGCUUCUGAGCGCUGCUUUUCCUUCUGAUCAAUAGGCUUAUUUUUAACUCACCUAGCAAGCUGUGCAGAAGUGGGAAGGUAAGCCAUGCUGAGGUGGAAGUGUUGUUUCCUGUGCAUUUGGACCAUUGUGGUAUCUGACCUUACGGUGGCCUUAGUGUACCGCUGCGGCGUGUUGCUUACAGACAUUAAAUAACAGAGGCAUUAAAGCUUUUUUACGUCUCGUUAAGGUGAUAAAUGGCAAUCGCUUCCAGUUGGUUGUCCACUCUAAAAGACAGAAUGUAAUAAAAAAACAAGGGUUUAAGUAACUGUUUGCUGCAGGUUAAAGCUGAUAAGUGUGCUCUGGGCAGAGGCACUGCGUGCCCUUGCCAGCCAGCAUCACUGAAUCAUUAAGGUUGGAGAAAACCUCUAAGAUCAUCAAAUCCAACCAUCCAGCUGUCACUACCAUGCCCACUAACCACAUCCCUAGCAAGGGAGAUGUCCAAGGAUGCAACUGAAGCACUCGUGCAGAUGCUCUGCUCCUACCUGCCGUGUGACAGCUCCUCUGCUCCCUCCUUUGUAACAUCUCAUGCAUUUGGGCUGUGGCUUGGAGAGCAGAUGGGAACUGCCUGUAGCCUGCUAUCUCCUUUGCUUUACUCCCAACUUUGUUGCAGUGUUAGCCCUUGGAUGUUCAAACUGUUUGCCCAUUGUCUCCUUUAAGGAACGCUGACGUUAAUUUGUGCACAAAUGGUUGGUGUGGUUUUUUUGCUCUUCUGGUUUAGUAGGAGUUUUUAGCUGGGUCAUUUCAGCUGCUCGUGUUGUGCCAAAUGUUGCCUAGGUUACUCAUUUAUUAAAAGUCACUGAAGUAUUUGGAAGUAUCAACAAUACUGGUGUGUGCUGAGGAAAAUGAGGAUGACAUUAUUUUAAAACACCAGCUUCCUGACUCCUGUAUUUCGGCCGCACGAUUUAUCUCUGGCUGAACAUUUUAAUGUGGUGCUGCUUCCUAUUUUUAAACAAUGGGGAAAAAAAAGGGGAAGAUAACAGGAGCAUAACUAUGACCCAUUGGCUUAUUAUGAGAUCACGGGUUCCUUUCGACUGAUAUUUAUAGAUUUAAAAAGAAGGGAAAAAAAGCUGAGAUUUCAGCAUUUUCUGGCAUGUGUGCUUUCAUAGCCCCAAGGUCACCGAGUCAAGCUCUGAUCUGAAUUCUUUCAAAGCCCUCUGUGAAGACUGGUGGUAAUCGUGGAAGUAAGAUCUGUGUCUGCAAGGAAAGUAACCAAGGGAAGAGAAGAAUAGCUACAUUUUGGUUAUUCAUCGUAUUUACACGGUGCUGUUCUGUAGAUGCGCGUGGUGUUUUACAGGCGGAGGCUGCCUGCCUUUGGACGCUGUAGUCUGGACUGGAGAAGAAAGGAAAUAGUGAAGAUGGCAAAUGAGUCUGGAAGGAGAUGGAGAAUUACAUGGUAGAGUGUCCUGAGAGGGGGCUGCGUGCCUGGAGAUGUGCUUGCGAGGAGCUGCAGGACUGGGAACGAGUACUGCUGGGGAGAGAAAUAUUUAGAGACUAAAAGUGAUCCCUUGUCAAUCUGGCUUUAUAGAAUCAUAGAAUCAUCCAGGCUGGAAAAGGCCUUGGAGAUCACUGGGUCCAACCAUUGAGUCCCUCCCAACGUUAGGCUUUCAUGUUGCAGUCCAAAAAAUUCAGCAGAACAUUUUCCCAAUGUGGUUGGCAUGAAAAAAAGCAUAGAAAGUGAUACUGUGGCAUCAGUUCUGGAAGCUUGCUGUACUCUGGGUAGCAGUUUGAGCAUGAUGUCAGGAGACUGGGUCCUGGAAAAGAAGACGACAACUCAGAUUGCGGUGUGAAGUUUCGGACAAGGAGAAAUGAAUUAGGAAGCGAUGUUUUGCAUAGGCUUCCACAUCAAAUGCUGGAUGCCCGCUGCUGGGAUCUGGGCUUUGGGAGAGGAGGCUUUGUGUCAGGGUUGCUUGUAGGGCUUUUUUGGCACGAAGGAACAAAAGACAACAGAGCAGCAUUCAAGAGGAAGCUUAAUGCUGGAAGAAUGCAGCUCUGGAAGGGCACUGCCCCGUCUCUUCUGCUGCUGAUGGUGCGAUGGGGGCCCAGCUGCCAGCAGAGCACUUCAGGGCUGGCAAGCUUCAGAGGGAGCAUUGCAUCUCCAGAUUAAGUUGGCAUUGCCUGCUUACAGUUGCCUGACCUUGUUGGCUGCGAGGUACUCGGUGACCGUGUAACAGUGCCACCGUAUUUUUCCUGCUAGGAAACAUGGCCUGUCCAGCCCCCUUUGUCACUGAAGGUUUGGAGGAAAUGCAGACGGAGCCAGUGCUUCUGGAGCGCUUGCUUCUUUCAGCAGUAGCUGUGUGGCAGAGAGUUGAAAGAUUACUUGCUUUCUUCAGUUUCUCAUUGCUUGAGUCAGUGGAUGGGCUCGUGAUAAGCAGAGGUAAUUCACACCUUAAUUGAGCUGACUCUUUAGUCCACAAAUGCCAUCUCAACAAGCUCGGGUGCAGAUGCUGCACUUUAUCAGUGCAAUGUGUAGGAACAGGGAUUUCCCAUCCUAGGACGAUGUGGCCUGGGAGGCUGAAGCGAAUGAAAUGAAAUGAGAGGAUUGAAGUGAUGAUGGUUUCUUCAGUUUUGUGCACCAUUUUGUCAUGGCAAAUGGUGACGGCUUUAUUAGCAAUUCCCAAGUCUAUUGGGUUUAAAUAAAAUUAAAUCAGUUACACUUACACCAUUCAUUGCCUUGCUAUAUAAGUGCAUCUGAAGCAUCAGCGGUUUUAUUUGAGAGCUGCUGAGGUGUAGGAAGGUGAGGAAACGGGACACAAGUAGGUCAGAUAACUUGCCUCAGGACAUGCAUCAGAAGUCAAAUCUCCUGAGAUCUCUGCAGUGCUUUGCUUGCAUAGUUUGACUUGCAGUGCCUUGCGUUUGGGAUACCUUUAAGCCUGCUACUUUGCUUGGAUCCUCCUGUGGCUAUUAAUAAUCCUCUCAAAUACCGCAUUAGUUGUCAGAUCUGCAGGUCAGCAGGGCAAGGUGCUCCCCGGGGAAGCUUCCAUUCGGGUGGUUAUGUCUGCUCGCUCCCUUUUUUGGCAACAACAGAGGUGAAGUUUCGUUGACCUUCAAAGUGUAAUAAACUUAUCUGGUUCCAGUGAUAGCAGGCUGGGCUGCCGGCUCAGAGGGCUUUGGACAGCCAGCACUGAUUAACUCCUCUCCAUUUGUGGACAGGGCCAGGUGUGUGCCUGAGUCGUUAUUUCCAAGAAGAUAACUCUUCACCAUAGAGGAAAAUGCAUCACAGAUGGAGGCUGGAAAAUAACAGAGUGAAGAUUAUACCACCUGAAGCUCUACCAUACUUUCCGUGGCAUUUGAAAUCCUGUGCCGCUGAGUAAAACAUCUUUGUUUCGUUGGCUUUGUGAGGAGAGCCGAGCGAUGCAGAUUAGUUUUCCAUAUUAGUUUGGUAUUUCAUCUCAGUGUGCAGCCCCGGCACUAUGCAAGAGGAGAAGACAAAAGGCUUCCCGAGAACGAUGUUUUAUUUAUGCUGCAGGUUGUACCUCAGGCUGUGCAGCCUGGCUGCUGCAACCCAAGCGUGGUGCUGGGAAAGCAUUAGGCUUCUUCAUCAAAUAGUGCUGAGCAGUUGUUGCUUCGUGGUGCUUUUCUGGAAUUGCUUUCCAUUCUUUUGCUCACGACGGUGAGUAGUUGAUAGAGAGGAAACCAGGGGAAGUGGAGUGGUGUCACCAAAGCAGAAAUAAAGAGCUCUGGCAAAAGGAUAGGGUGUAAAAAUUCAACGUGCUUUUAAUCCUGCUUUGAGAUUUAUCUCUGAGAUAGCAUAUGCUCUUAGCAUACCUCUGCGGGGUCUCUUCUCCCUUGCUCUCUGGCAGGAGAAUGGAGGGAAUGAGUUUUAUAUCCCAUGUAGGAAGGUAGCGAAGAUUUUUAUGGUCUCGCUGUAAGUAUUUAUGUCAGUUGUUUUUCACGUGCCCUCAGCUGAGGACUCCUGUGCGUGGAGAAGCGUUGCAGAAGGCAGCUGUUCCCAUCGAGCUGUGUGAGCCACGGCCAUCUGAAACAGCCCCCCAGGUUUGGGUUCCAGUGGUUACUCAUUUCUCACUUGCGUAACCAUCAGAUCAAUCUCAGGAAGAAAUCCUCUCAAUACCUUGCUUAUUCUGUGUUUAAAAAAAAAAACAACACAACGGAAUGGGGUGAAAAUAGAAAGCUCUCUGCAAACAUAACGUGGCUAUCAACACCAAACCUGUGUGUAGCGUGAGAGCACUGUUAGCUGAAGCCUCGUGUCUCAAAGUUCUCUGGAUGCCUCUUCCGUGGGAGUGUUACACCAGCAAUCUCAAAUUGGAUGCCCAGGAGGUUUGGGCUUCGUGGCUGUCGCUGGUGCUUGGAAGGAGCCAGGCUUACGCAGCUCGUACAUGUGUGAGCCUCUAAGCAGCCGUGAAUUAUCCUUAUCUCCUCAGUCAUAUAUUCUGACUUUAUAUUAUUACACAUUGUAAAGCCCCGGCUGUGCAAAAAACCUGAAGAGCAACAGCUGUUACUGUCAAGAGAUGCAAGUGUUUUCCUUGCAGUUACCUGCCUCUGUUCUCAGGGUGGUUUUGAAACAAGAUCAGCUCCAUGCAUAGAAGGCUCUCUGAUGAGAGGUAAGGUAGUUUCCCGUACGAGUAGGUAGGUGUUCCUAUAAACAAGUGCCAAGAAUUAAAUUGACCUACUUCUUUGCUGAGAAACUGCUUACUAUGGUUGUGGGUGACGCUAACGUAGACGUUCACUUUUCUCUAACUUAUUAGUGAAGGGAUGACUGACAGCACCCAGCGUUCUGCGUGCUCACGAUGACAGCGUGGGUAGCAAGCUCUGUUUGUUUGGGUUAGCAAGGUUUGUUUGGGUUGUGAGAUCCCUUGGUUGUCACGUGCAUCCCGUUGUAGAAUAUAAGCACCAAAUCCAUUUACGAAUUUGUCUUGUGCCCGACUGGCUGUAAGAUGAUUUUAGGAAGCCUGUUGGGUUAAAACUGCAAUGAGAGAGGUGUGGAGGGGGGUUGAGAACCGAUGAAAUAAAUGGUUGGUGUCAAGAUUGCUACUGUUGCUGAUGGAGUUUAGGAGGAUUACUGUUUCAGUCAAAAACCCAUGAGGAUACCUACAAAACAACAGUAGCUUUACAGUAGCAGGAGACUUAAAGGAGAAGCUGUAGUGCAUCCCGUGCUGCGUGUCCUUGUGUUUCAUCCGUGAAAUGGCUUUCUGCUUUAAGUGAUCUAGCUGUACUUUUGAUGUCCAUUUAUAACAACCACUCAAUUCCAUAGCUGACAUGGUAUCCCUCCCUGUUUUGUUUCCACACUUCAUUGAUGUGGCUUCUUUGUGACCUACUUUGUGUUCACCGCUUUAAGGUUGCUUCUUUUUUUUUUUUCAUUCUGUUCCAAAAGGAAGUGCCUUCCAUGAGAAGCAUCUGAAAUUUGCUCGCCAGUUUUUCAUGCUGGUAGAUGGAAACGUGGACCCAACAGAAUGGGCGUCCUUCAGCCGCACCAGGACCAACGAUGUGACUCUUAGGUGCUUUCCUUCCUAAGCUCUCUUGCUAAUUGUUCUGAGAUCCUGGGGGUGGAUGUUCGGAGAAUUGGGGAAGGAAAUGCCUGUAUUUCCUUGGAGCUGUUGUUACUCAUUGCUCUGAAGUGUGACUGUGAGGACAUUGCAUUUGCCCCUCGUCCUUUCAGGGGGCCAGCGAUGUGUCAUGUGCUUAUUACUUGCACAGCUUGGGGAAGGAACAUCCCAAUUCUUGCUCCUUUUACUCAUUCUGGGAUAUUCUUCUUUUGCAUUCCUCCCUGUGGUUUCUUCCUGUAAUUUCCAGCAGCGGUGAUUCAGCUCAAGGCUUAGCUGUAUCUCUCUCUUCAAUUAGUGGUGCUUUUGCUUUUUAUCUGGGGCAUGAGGUAUGUGCUUGCUUAUUCGUGGGGACACUUGAAAACCAGUUAAUGUGAUGCAGAUGUGUCGUUUUCAGCAGCUGCAUAGCAUUUAGCUAAGUCUUAUGAAGGAAUUAAUACCUCAAAGUAUUACAUGUCACUGGAAAAGAAUAAUUCACUUCUGUGAUUUCACAAAGUGGACAUAGCUUAGCGUUUGUUGUCAUCAUCUCCUAUGACUUGAGGCUUUUUUCCUCCCAUCAUUUCACGUUGGUGCUGUGUUGGUGUAAACACAGGUUAACCCCAAAGGAAAAAAAAAAAAACAAAAAACAAACAAACAACCCACACCAGCCCUUCUCCUGGAAUCUUAAUGGCUUUUUGGUUAAGUAGCUUUGGAUCCAAAGAGCAGCUAGACCUUGUGUUUGUUUGUGCUGUUGAUUGCAACUGCACGGCUCUUGCUUGAAACAGCAACGCCCUGUGGAAGUACAACACACUCAAAUAGUUGUGUGUGUGUGUGUCAGUAGCAGAGGUGACAACCAGCUUUUGUUAUAAUUUGGGGGUGAGCUUGGUUUUGCUCUGCUGGUGCUGUGCAUGCAGUGCUGCGCUGUCUUGGGAAAACACUUAGCAGAGGGUGAAUGAAGAACUGAAACCAGCCAGAGCUGCUCGCCACUGGUACGAGGAGCAGCCCACUCUUAUCAGUAUCAUUCCUCACUCCCACUUUGGUUGCCUUGCAUUACUUUUAGUUAAAAGUGAUGCAACGGUAUCAACGUGAGGCACGCGUGUACUUGUACAGAGAGUGCUGGAAGAGCUUCGGGAGCCAAAAACGUGGCCCAAAUUAUCUGCUUUGGAGUCUUUUGCCUCAAAAGCUGAGCGCAGGGCAUUGGGCUGAGCCUCGCUGAGACUUGGAGGUUAAAUGAGCUGGAUGUGAUGGGGCAGAAAAUGAAGAAUUCAGCAAAAAGAAGUGGAUGCCAGCUGCGGUGCGGUGUCAAGCUGUGCUCCCCAGUAGGUUGCUGGACGGAGCAGCUUUCUGCACAUUUCUUGCCAGCAGGGUCCGGGCUGAAGCGGGGGCUGUUUGUGUUGGAGGCGAGCUCGGUACAGAGGCCGUGCUUGUGUGGAGGCAUGGCAUGUGAAAGCUUUUAGUGGUUUGCAGAUUAAUUUUAGGAGAUUCCUUUUCUCGGCUUGAAAUAUCCAGUAAGGCAGGUGAAACCCAGGAGGGAAAGCUAUUAAUUUCUAUCCUUUCAUGUAUUUAGUGUUAGUCUUCAUCAGAGAAUAGGAACCGACGAAUGCAAAUCUGUUCUCCAACACACACAGACACGUUUUGUUGCUUGGAAGCUGAGCGGGAGCUGUAAUGAAUGAUCAGCGCCCGAUUCCAGAGCUGUGACAAUCUGGCAUCGCCUUAAUAUUCUGAGCCAUCAUGGGUAUUAUUCCUCUGCAUUUUUCCCCCUUUGUCUUCUUCAAACCUGUGUUCUAAUCUGAAUGCUGUUGGUUUCUAGGAUUGAAAGAGAUAGUGGCUGGCUCUGUGCUUUGCUCAUUUUUCUUUUCACAACAGAGGCGAAGAGAGGAUGGUGCGAUUCCUCUUUUUUUUUUUUUUUCCUCCCCUUUGAUAGUACAAAUGCAUCCCGAAUUAGAAGUGACAUGGAAAAUUGCAGUUUUUUCCAGUUCUGUUCACAAUUGUCUCUCUAGAGCGUGACGAUACAUAACUUAUUCAUGACAGAGAGAAUUACUUAAUAAGCGAGGAACUUUUCUUAAGGAAUCCCAGUACUUCCAGGGAGAAAGUCUUUUUGCAUCCUCAAAACUUGGAGCAACUCCCCUUUGGGUUCUCUGGCGACUGUGACAGCUUAUCUUCGGAAAUAAGUGCAGAUUAAUUUACAUGUGUCUUUAUUUUAAAAUAUAGCUUGCUUACCCAGAUGGCAAUUACAUUCAAGUUAAUGGUAAUGUAAAACAGCAGGAUCUAGAGUAGUUCUCCAGCCUAAGGGCUGACCAUUUUUACCAUCCAGCUGUUUUCCAAGUGAUUUACUCCAUUUUCCCACUUGGCUUCCCUGCCUCACCCCUCGGUCUGAGCCUCGGCGCUUGCAGCACAGUGUGGGUGGCAAGACGGGAAGAACAGCUGCACUUUGCAGCUCCAGUAAAUGCCUUUAUUACAAUUGUGUCUACGUUACACUAAUACCAAAUGUCUAAGUUCACUAACACAGAUUGUCGUCGUUCCCACCCCACCGGCGUGCAGCGAGGACUGAGAGCUCUGCCUCACCCUCGCUCAGCCUUCGGCAGCCAGAAGUGCUGCUGCCUUUCUCCUGCUUCUCGUGCGUUGGGUGUGAUGUGCAGAAGGGAUGAUGUGCUCCCAAACAGCUCAGGAAGAAGCCUGGAUGACCUGUGUAAAACAGGACUGCCGGCUGGGGUCCUGUGCUGGAGAGCUGGGCCCCAGGAGCUCUCCCUCAUCCUGGCCAUGCCCUGCUUGGGAGCGCACCGCAGCCUGGAAGCAGAGACCAAAGCACUUCAAGAGGGAUUUGACAAAUCCACCUGUCAGUGUCACCAGGCACGCGUUUAUCAUCUUUGACAAGGAGAAAAUUGCUUUGACUUGUCUGCAGGACAAGUAAAAUUUAGUAAUAGUGAUGAGGUAUUUUAAAAGUUGUCGUGAUCACGUAAAUCCUGUUAUCUCUGUAACCUGAUGUUAGCAAGCCCUGAGCUUUAAAAUGACAUUAACUUUCUGGAAAAAAACUGCCUCGUGUUAACAGAUAACUGGGUAUUUUCCCCUCUGUUCAUCUCUAAAUCCUGUUGCCUUUGAAAGGCUGACACUUCUGUUCCUUAGCCCCGUGUCCCUGCUAACAGAAAAUUGAAGGAGAUGCCUUUUAGAGAAAAAGGAGAAAAAAAAGCGUGUAGCUACAUCGCAUUGUAAAAAUGCAAAGGAAGCAAAGACGCCCAAUCUGACAAAGCAUCAGUGUUUAGGCUGUAAGCUCAUUAUAAGCCUUGUGUAGUGGGAGCUGAUUUUUUCCAAUUAAUUUCGAUGUAUUACCAUAAUAAACAUUUUAAUAAUAUCCUUUCCUUCCCUCCUGUCAGCAGCAGCUGAAUAUUUCAGUGAGCUACCCGGGCUGUCAUGGCAGCCCUUAUCCCCAGCAUCUAUGCAGAUCAGUUUCCAGGAAUGCUUAUAGGUUAUUUCCAGUUCAGUGCAACAUCCCAAGCCGUGCUGCCUCUGCUGUUUUUCUUAGUGCAUUC